AGAGUUUGAUCCUGGCUCAGGAUGAACGCUGGCGGCGUGCCUAACACAUGCAAGUCGAGCGAUUCUUUUCGGAGAAGAGCGGCGGACGGGUGAGUAACGCGUGGGUAACCUGCCCUGUACACACGGAUAACAUACCGAAAGGUAUGCUAAUACGAGAUAAUAUACUUUUAUCGCAUGGUAGAAGCAUCAAAGCUCCGGCGGUACAGGAUGGACCCGCGUCUGAUUAGCUAGUUGGUAAGGUAACGGCUUACCAAGGCGACGAUCAGUAGCCGACCUGAGAGGGUGAUCGGCCACAUUGGAACUGAGACACGGUCCAAACUCCUACGGGAGGCAGCAGUGGGGAAUAUUGCACAAUGGGCGAAAGCCUGAUGCAGCAACGCCGCGUGAGCGAUGAAGGCCUUCGGGUCGUAAAGCUCUGUCCUCAAGGAAGAUAAUGACGGUACUUGAGGAGGAAGCCCCGGCUAACUACGUGCCAGCAGCCGCGGUAAUACGUAGGGGGCUAGCGUUAUCCGGAAUUACUGGGCGUAAAGGGUGCGUAGGUGGUUUCUUAAGUCAGAGGUGAAAGGCUACGGCUCAACCGUAGUAAGCCUUUGAAACUGGGGAACUUGAGUGCAGGAGAGGAGAGUGGAAUUCCUAGUGUAGCGGUGAAAUGCGUAGAUAUUAGGAGGAACACCAGUUGCGAAGGCGGCUCUCUGGACUGUAACUGACACUGAGGCACGAAAGCGUGGGGAGCAAACAGGAUUAGAUACCCUGGUAGUCCACGCCGUAAACGAUGAGUACUAGCUGUCGGAGGUUACCCCCUUCGGUGGCGCAGCUAACGCAUUAAGUACUCCGCCUGGGAAGUACGCUCGCAAGAGUGAAACUCAAAUGAAUUGACGG
This 879-nucleotide ribosomal RNA is filed under the name uncultured bacterium. RNAcentral describes it as "bacterial SSU rRNA". It matches the Rfam family "Bacterial small subunit ribosomal RNA", at positions 8 to 916 of the family's 1533-position model. The record is from RNAcentral.